This is a small nuclear RNA of Peromyscus eremicus (cactus mouse), 121 nucleotides long. Lineage: Eukaryota; Metazoa; Chordata; Mammalia; Rodentia; Cricetidae. The record is from RefSeq and is a predicted model, not a curated record.
GUGCUGUAUGAGAGGGGUGUUUAGCAAUCCCCUAGGCAAGAACUGAAGAGGCCAGGGAGCCUAGCAACACCCACGGCUGAGGUAUCGUCCCCUAUUUAAACAGGUUAUAAAAUACCUUUCU